Molecule: long non-coding RNA, 523 nt
Organism: Engraulis encrasicolus (European anchovy)
Lineage: Eukaryota; Metazoa; Chordata; Actinopteri; Clupeiformes; Engraulidae
Exons: 2
Source: RefSeq, a predicted model, not a curated record
GAGCUCACGAGAGCUCACGAGGCGGGGGGGCGGGCUAAGCCACGACAAAGCGACUAGCCAAGCUAACUUCCAGCCAUGGCACUGUCUCCGGCUACGACCUUCCACGACCACGAGAGCUCCAGCUCUGACUUUCCUGGCCCAUCACAAUCAUAACGACCUAACAGCCCAGUAGGACCGAUGGCCAGAGAUGGAGGAGGAGGAAGAUAGACGCAGCAGAGGUCGGGGGUAUUGAUUAGGGAGACUCCAACAGAAUUGACGCCCUGCUAACUGUAAGGAUGUACAUUCAUCCCUCAAUAACAUUGUCCUGCUGUAUUCCUCCAGAUGUGUAAGUAUUGUAAUGGAUGUUAUCACAACGGAUGUACUCUAUAUCGCUACACGAGUACACCUGUUGUGAUAACCAUUACAAUAUUUCUACUCCUAUGAGUAGUAGUGUGAUAUUACAUGGUUGUAGGUACACAACACCAGUGGUAGUUCAAGUACAUCCAUAAAAGCCCAUCUACUUCAUACAUCUGUGUAACCCCUG